GACGAACGCUGGCGGCGUGCUUAACACAUGCAAGUCGAACGGAAAGGCCCUGCUUUUGUGGGGUGCUCGAGUGGCGAACGGGUGAGUAACACGUGAGUAACCUGCCCUUGACUUUGGGAUAACUUCAGGAAACUGGGGCUAAUACCGGAUAGGAGCUCCUGCUGCAUGGUGGGGGUUGGAAAGUUUCGGCGGUUGGGGAUGGACUCGCGGCUUAUCAGCUUGUUGGUGGGGUAGUGGCUUACCAAGGCUUUGACGGGUAGCCGGCCUGAGAGGGUGACCGGCCACAUUGGGACUGAGGUACGGCCCAGACUCCUACGGGAGGAAGCAGUGGGGAAUAUUGCACAAUGGGCGGAAGCCUGAUGCAGCAACGCCGCGUGCGGGAUGACGGCCUUCGGGUUGUAAACCGCUUUCGCCUGUGACGAAGCGUGAGUGACGGUAAUGGGUAAAGAAGCACCGGCUAACUACGU
RNAcentral lists this ribosomal RNA (467 nucleotides) under uncultured bacterium. Its description in RNAcentral is "partial 16S ribosomal RNA". It matches the Rfam family "Bacterial small subunit ribosomal RNA", at positions 28 to 506 of the family's 1533-position model. The record is from RNAcentral.